AUUUUAACGCUGGCGGCAGGCUUAACUCAUGCAAGUCGACUCGGUAACAGGGGAGCUUGCUCCUGCUGACGAGCGGCGGACGGGUGAGUAACGCGUAGGAAUCUACCUAGUAGAGGGGGACAACAUGUGGAAACGCAUGCUAAUACCGCAUACACCCUAAGGGGGAAAGGAGGGGACUCUUCGGAGCCUUCCGCUAUUAGAUGAGCCUGCGUGAGAUUAGCUAGUUGGUAGGGUAAAGGCCUACCAAGGCGACGAUCUCUAACUGGUCUGAGAGGAUGACCAGUCACACUGGGACUGAGACACGGCCCAGACUCCUACGGGAGGCAGCAGUGGGGAAUAUUGGACAAUGGGCGGAAGCCUGAUCCAGCCAUGCCGCGUGUGUGAAGAAGGCCUUAGGGUUGUAAAGCACUUUCAGGGGUGAGGAAGGGUAACUGGCUAAUAUCCAGUUAUCUUGACGUUAGCCCCAGAAGAAGCACCGGCUAACUCUGUGCCAGCAGCCGCGGUUAAUAC
RNAcentral lists this ribosomal RNA (510 nucleotides) under bacterium RA6-2. Its description in RNAcentral is "bacterial SSU rRNA". It matches the Rfam family "Bacterial small subunit ribosomal RNA", at positions 32 to 526 of the family's 1533-position model. The record is from RNAcentral.